UACGAAGGGGGCUAGCGUUGUUCGGAAUUACUGGGCGUAAAGCGCGCGCAGGCGGUCUUCCAAGUCAGUGGUGAAAGCCCGGAGCUCAACUCCGGAACUGCCAUUGAAACUGUUAGACUUGAGGACGAGAGAGGUGAGUGGAAUUCCCAGUGUAGAGGUGAAAUUCGUAGAUAUCGGGAGGAAUACCAGUGGCGAAGGCGGCGACCUGGGCCAAUACUGACGCUGAGGUGCGAAAGCGUGGGGAGCAAACAGG
This 253-nucleotide ribosomal RNA is filed under the name uncultured bacterium. RNAcentral's name for it is "partial 16S ribosomal RNA". It matches the Rfam family "Bacterial small subunit ribosomal RNA", at positions 524 to 776 of the family's 1533-position model. The record is from RNAcentral.